This 550-nucleotide ribosomal RNA is filed under the name uncultured bacterium. RNAcentral's name for it is "partial 16S ribosomal RNA". It matches the Rfam family "Bacterial small subunit ribosomal RNA", at positions 355 to 895 of the family's 1533-position model. The record is from RNAcentral.
UGGGGAAUUUUGGACAAUGGGCGAAAGCCUGAUCCAGCAAUGCCGCGUGUGUGAAGAAGGCCUUCGGGUUGUAAAGCACUUUUGUCCGGAAAGAAAUCCUUGGCUCUAAUACAGUCGGGGGAUGACGGUACCGGAAGAAUAAGCACCGGCUAACUACGUGCCAGCAGCCGCGGUAAUACGUAGGGUGCAAGCGUUAAUCGGAAUUACUGGGCGUAAAGCGUGCGCAGGCGGUUUGCUAAGACCGAUGUGAAAUCCCCGGGCUCAACCUGGGAACUGCAUUGGUGACUGGCAGGCUAGAGUAUGGCAGAGGGGGGUAGAAUUCCACGUGUAGCAGUGAAAUGCGUAGAGAUGUGGAGGAAUACCGAUGGCGAAGGCAGCCCCCUGGGCCAAUACUGACGCUCAUGCACGAAAGCGUGGGGAGCAAACAGGAUUAAAUACCCUGGUAGUCCACGCCCUAAACGAUGUCAACUAGUUGUUGGGGAUUCAUUUUCCUUAGUAACGUAGCUAACGCGUGAAGUUGACCGCCUGGGGGAGUACGGUCGCAAAGAUU